This 844-nucleotide long non-coding RNA is filed under the name Anas platyrhynchos platyrhynchos (common mallard). RNAcentral's name for it is "lncRNA (ENSAPLG00000019593.1)". The record is from RNAcentral. Lineage: Eukaryota; Metazoa; Chordata; Aves; Anseriformes; Anatidae.
AUGGAAAUGUUAUUUGUCCAGUGCUCUGUGCACGCCAGGCACGCUGUGAACACAAAACAAGACAAUGCCCAAACUAUUUACAGGUUGGUGACCUGUGUCUGCCUCCUGUGGUGGCGACUCUACACAAACUCCAAAGGCAUGCAUUUGUGUGUGUGUGUGUACACACGGAUGUGUUCGUGGAGGGGCUGUGGGGCUGGUUUAAUUUUCAGCCAGAUCAACCCCGUGAUUUGGCUCAACAUACAGCCAGAUAGAUGCUACUGUUGGCAGGCAGAGAGGGGAGGAAUGAGCAUGUGGGGAGGAAAGAGCAGCAGAGGACAGCUGCUGUGGGAACUGUGCUACCCCUUGUCUACAUCCACUGCAGAGAUGUGCACAGGACACUCAGGCCCUGCUCCAGCUGCGGUGUGCGGAGGCCAAGUUAUUAGAGGUGAACUGGAAAAUGAAGCAAUAAAACACCAUUAACUUUAGCACUUUAGAAGCUGGAGAUGGAAAUGACCCAUGAGACCUCUGCCAGAAAAAGACUGCUCCUUACUGCAAUAGGUAUGCCACAGAGGGAAGAGCAGGAUGUGCGUGCACCAUACGUUGCCCCUGCCUUUCCAUCUGCUUGUCCAUCCCCUGCACCUUGCCUCUUUUCCCUCUCCCGUGUGAUACGGCGCUGCAGCAGGCUCUGUUCGGAUGCUGUCAUUGCCCACCAACAAAUUCCACAUGAGCAGGAAGCCAGCUGUGCGGAAAAGAAAAGGGCGGUGGAAAAUGGACCUUCAGAAAAAAAAAAGAAAAAAAAUGCAUUUUCAUGGGUGCUUUUUAGCAAACAAAUAAAUGUCAUAAUGCAAGAAAAUGAGAGGUUUGU